This 203-nucleotide long non-coding RNA is filed under the name Solanum tuberosum (potato). Its description in RNAcentral is "long non-coding RNA (STUB_LNC007210)". The record is from RNAcentral. Lineage: Eukaryota; Viridiplantae; Streptophyta; Magnoliopsida; Solanales; Solanaceae.
CUCAACUCCACAUCAAUAAGCUCAAUACAAUACAAGAAAGUAGGAACUACAUCUACAAACUCAUUAUUCAUCAUAACUUCGACAUUUCUCAUUUCAUUGGAGGAAUUACCUUCUGCAACUCAUAUGAUUCUCAUCACAACAUCAUUAUGCAAUUUCUUCAUAAAAGAACAUUUAGGUAUGUUCAACAAUUAACCUCAUGAAGC